GUCUGGCCUGCCCACUGAAAUUUUAAAGGGCCGCGGUAUUUUGACCGUGCAAAGGUAGCAUAGUCAUUAGUCUUUUAAUUGGGGGCUUGUAUGAAUGGUCGGACAAGAGAUAAUCUGUUUCAAUGAAAUUAAUUGAAUUUAACUUUUAAGUAAAAAGGCUUAAAUAUAUUAAAGUGACGAUAAGACCCUAUAAAACUUUAUGAAAAAAAAUUAAAAAAUCAAAUUAGUUAAUUAAAGACUUUUUAAUUGUAUUCAUUUUAUUGGGGCGAUAAAAAUAAAAUAAUAACUGUUUUUAAAUUUUAAAUGAUAAUUUUCAGUUAAGUUAAAUGAUCCUUUAAUAAAGAUUAAAAGAUUAAGUUACUUUAGGGAUAACAGCGUAAUUUUCUUUAAGAGUUCAUAUCUACAAGAAAGAUUGCGACCUCGAUGUUGAAUUAAAAUUUCUUUAAGGUGUAGCAGCUUUAAAAGAAGGUCUGUUCGACCUUUAAAUUUUUACGUGAUCUGAGU
RNAcentral lists this ribosomal RNA (504 nucleotides) under Nyctiphanes capensis. RNAcentral's name for it is "partial 16S ribosomal RNA". It matches the Rfam family "Bacterial large subunit ribosomal RNA", at positions 1852 to 2610 of the family's 2925-position model. The record is from RNAcentral. Lineage: Eukaryota; Metazoa; Arthropoda; Malacostraca; Euphausiacea; Euphausiidae.